Molecule: ribosomal RNA, 478 nt
Filed under: uncultured bacterium
Lineage: Bacteria
Description: partial 16S ribosomal RNA
Rfam family: Bacterial small subunit ribosomal RNA
Source: RNAcentral
GACGAACGCUGGCGGCGUGCUUAACACAUGCAAGUCGAACGGUAAGGCCCUUCGGGGUACACGAGUGGCGAACGGGGGAGUAACACGUGGGUGAUCUGCCCUGCACUUCGGGAUAAGCCUGGGAAACGGGGUCUAAUACCGGAUAGGACUCCGGACUGCAUGGUCUGGGGUGGAAAGCUUUUGCGGUUGGGGAUGGGGCCGGGGCAUAUCAGGGUGUUGGGGGGGUGGUGGCCUAACAAGGCGGCGACGGGUAGCCGGCCUGAGAGGGUGGCCGGCCACACUGGGACUGAGAUACGGCCCAGACUCCUACGGGAGGCAGCAGUGGGGAAUAUUGCACAAUGGGCGCAAGCCUGAUGCAGCGACGCCGCGUGAGGGAUGACGGCCUUCGGGUUGUAAACCUCUUUCAGCACAGACGAAGCGCAGGUGACGGUAUGUGCAGAAGAAGGACCGGCCAACUACGUGCCAGCCGCCGCAGUAA